RNAcentral lists this unclassified non-coding RNA (243 nucleotides) under plant metagenome. RNAcentral's name for it is "partial contains small subunit ribosomal RNA and internal transcribed spacer 1". The stretch from base 1 to 46 matches the Rfam family "Eukaryotic small subunit ribosomal RNA", at positions 1786 to 1831 of the family's 1831-position model. The record is from RNAcentral.
AAGUCGUAACAAGGUUUCCGUAGGUGAACCUGCGGAAGGAUCAUUAAAGAGUUAGGGUCCUAGUGGCCCAAGCCUCCAACCCUCUGUUGUUAAAAGCUACCUUGUUGCUUUGGCGGGACCGUUCGGUCUCCGAGCGCGUUAACCUUCGGGUUGGCGAGCGCCCGCCAGAGUCCAACCAAACUCUUGUCAUUAAAACCAGUCCGUCUGGAGGUUAUAAAAGUUUUUAAUUUAAAACUUAAAAAC